CAAAAACAUAGCCUUAAGAAAUAAAUUUAAGGUAAGCCCUGCCCAGUGGAAAGUAUUCUUAACGGCCGCAGUACCUUGACUGUGCUAAGGUAGCGUAAUCAAUUGGCUUUUAAAUGGAGUCCAGAAUGAACGGGGCCAUGGGGAAAAACUGUCUUUUUUUUGGUUAGUUUAAUUUGCUUAAUAGGUGAAAAUACCUUUAUAAAGAAAAAAGACGAGAAGACCCUAAGAGCCUAACAAUAUAAUAAUAAUUUAUUUGUUUUUGUUGGGGCGACAAGAAGACACAUAUAAACUCUUCUUUUUUACUAAACGAUUAUAAUAUAUAAGAACAGGCUACCUUAGGGAUAACAGCAUAAUUAUACUUUAGUUUGUGACCUCGAUGUUGGACUAGGAACUUGAUGACUAGUCGUCAAUAAAGGAAAGUUCUGUUCGAACUACGUUUCCUACGUGAUCUG
RNAcentral lists this ribosomal RNA (452 nucleotides) under Carychium cf. noduliferum AMW-2013. Its description in RNAcentral is "partial 16S ribosomal RNA". It matches the Rfam family "Bacterial large subunit ribosomal RNA", at positions 1808 to 2607 of the family's 2925-position model. Lineage: Eukaryota; Metazoa; Mollusca; Gastropoda; Ellobiida; Ellobiidae. The record is from RNAcentral.